GCCGAAACAAUCACCAUACAAACAUCCCAGAUAUAUAAAACAAACCAUUUGACCAACUAAGUAGAGGCGAUCGAACAGUAAUACCACACACUAAGCAGUACCGUAAGGGAAAACUUUUAAAGCAAAAGACAGCAAAGAUAAACCCUUGUACCUUUAGCAUCAUGGUUUAGCAAGUAAAUACAAGGCAAGAAGAAUCAAAGUCUACUAACCCGAAACCAGGUGAGCUACCUUAGAGCAGCCUAAAGGGCAAACCCUUCUCUGUAGCAAAAGAGUGGGAAGACUUAAAGGUAGAGGCGAAACACCUACCGAACCUGGAGAUAGCUGGCUACCUAAAAAGGAAUAUAGUUCCACUUUAGGCCUAAAAAAAUCUAUAUUCGCCUAAAGACAUUCAAUAGGGGUACAGCCCUAUUGAAACAGGAUACAACCUGUAUUUGAGAGUACCUGCUCACUUAACCACUAACCCGUAGGCCUUAAAGCAGCCAACUAACAGAAUAUCGUUAAAGAAUUCAACCCAAAAAAUAUAAAAACAAAAUAAAAACUCCAAACACACUAAAGGUAACCCUAUUCACCCAUAGGGCUUAUUCUGCUAAAACUAUUAAUAAGAUAACAUCUCUAUACGCAUCCUUCCACUAGAAACAGAAAGUCUACUAGCCAUUAACAGACCAAACCAGGAUAAAUAUAAACCCAAUACACACCCACAUAACCCCACUGUAAACCCAACACAGGUGCGUCAAAAAGAAAGAUUAAACACUAAAAAAGGAACUCGGCAACCAAAGACCCCAACUGUUUAACAAAAACAUAACCUUUAGCCACCAAACCAAUAUUAAAGGCAGCGCCUGCCCAGUGAAUAAUUAAACGGCCGCGGUAUCCUAACCGUGCAAAGGUAGCGUAAUCACUUGUCUAUUAAUUGUAGACCUGUAUGAAAGGCACCAUGAGGGUCUAACUGUCUCUUUUAGUAAAUCAAUUAAACUGAUCUCCCAGUCCAAAAGCUGGUAUAACACCAUAAGACCAGAAGACCCUGUGAAGCUUUAACUAAACUAUUAAACCCUAUAAUAACUCCUUUAGGUUGGGGCGACCUUGGAAAAAAAAAGAACUUCCAAAUAACUUUAUACAUACUAUUAAACCCACGGCCAACAAGCCUAUUAGUGACCCAGCACAGCUGAUAAUUGAACCAAGUUACUCCAGGGAUAACAGCGCUAUCUUCUUCAAGAGCCCAUAUCAAAAAGAAGGUUUACGACCUCGAUGUUGGAUCAGGACACCCCAAUGGUGUAGCCGCUAUUAAAGGUUCGUUUGUUCAACGAUUAAAUUUAGUCCUACGUGAUCUGAGUUCAGACCGGAGUAAUCCAGGUCGGUUUCUAUCUAUGUCCUAGCUAUCUUUAGUACGAAAGGAAUAAUAUAGCGGGGCCCAUACUACAAGCAAGCCCCUUUUAAACCAAACACACCCGUUACCCACCAGACCAAGAAAAGGUCAGUUCAGGUAUAUUACCUCAACAU
RNAcentral lists this ribosomal RNA (1494 nucleotides) under Laticauda semifasciata (broad-banded blue sea krait). RNAcentral describes it as "16S ribosomal RNA". It matches the Rfam family "Bacterial large subunit ribosomal RNA". The record is from RNAcentral. Lineage: Eukaryota; Metazoa; Chordata; Lepidosauria; Squamata; Elapidae.